Molecule: ribosomal RNA, 393 nt
Filed under: uncultured Gammaproteobacteria bacterium
Lineage: Bacteria; Pseudomonadati; Pseudomonadota; Gammaproteobacteria
Description: bacterial SSU rRNA
Rfam family: Bacterial small subunit ribosomal RNA
Source: RNAcentral
GUAACGAGCGCAACCCCUAUCCUUAUUUGCCAGCGAGUAAUGUCGGGAACUCUAAGGAGACUGCCGGUGACAAACCGGAGGAAGGUGGGGACGACGUCAAGUCAUCAUGGCCCUUACGAGUAGGGCUACACACGUGCUACAAUGGCCGGUACAACAGGUUGCUAACCCGCGAGGGGGCGCUAAUCCGCAAAAACCGGUCGUAGUCCGGAUCGCAGUCUGCAACUCGACUGCGUGAAGUCGGAAUCGCUAGUAAUCGCGAAUCAGAAUGUCGCGGUGAAUACGUUCCCGGGCUUUGUACACACCGCCCGUCACACCAUGGGAGUGGGUUGCACCAGAAGUAGCUAGUCUAACUUUCGGGAGGACGGUUACCACGGUGUGAUUCAUGACUGGGGU